This 86-nucleotide transfer RNA is filed under the name Paucidesulfovibrio gracilis DSM 16080. RNAcentral describes it as "Desulfovibrio gracilis DSM 16080 tRNA". It matches the Rfam family "tRNA". Rfam says of the family: Transfer RNA (tRNA) molecules are approximately 80 nucleotides in length. Their secondary structure includes four short double-helical elements and three loops (D, anti-codon, and T loops). Lineage: Bacteria; Pseudomonadati; Thermodesulfobacteriota; Desulfovibrionia; Desulfovibrionales; Desulfovibrionaceae. The record is from Rfam by way of RNAcentral.
GCCGGAGUGAUGGAAUUGGUAGACAUAUCGGACUUAAAAUCCGAAGAUCAUUUAUGAUCGUGCGGGUUCAAAUCCCGCCUCCGGUA